This 24-nucleotide non-coding RNA is filed under the name Cricetulus griseus (Chinese hamster). Lineage: Eukaryota; Metazoa; Chordata; Mammalia; Rodentia; Cricetidae. The record is from RNAcentral.
UAUCAGAGGUAAAGAUGGUUUAGA